This 22-nucleotide microRNA is filed under the name Acyrthosiphon pisum (pea aphid). Its description in RNAcentral is "api-miR-3041". The record is from miRBase by way of RNAcentral. Lineage: Eukaryota; Metazoa; Arthropoda; Insecta; Hemiptera; Aphididae.
UUAAAGCUUUGAUGACGGGAUA